Molecule: ribosomal RNA, 266 nt
Filed under: uncultured marine eukaryote
Lineage: Eukaryota
Description: partial 18S ribosomal RNA
Rfam family: Eukaryotic small subunit ribosomal RNA
Source: RNAcentral
AAAACUCACCCGGCCCGGACGUGAAAAGGAUUGACAGAUCGAAAGCUCUUUCUUGAUCUUGCGAAUGGUGGUGCAUGGCCGUUCUUAGUUCGUGGAACAUUUUGUCUGGUCGAUUCUGAUAACGGACGAGACCCGAACGAUGCAUGUCUGAUAAGCGGUCGCUUGCCGUUUCGCUUGAAUGCGCGGCAGCCGAGGCGAACCGAAAACUUUGUAAACUUGACGGACCGGCGGCGUUGAUGUGUAAGCCGCACGAGAUCGAGCGAUAA